AACCCAUAGUAAGGGCAUCUUCGCAAAAGGUCCUUAUAUGUCUCCUAUGCAUCGUAGAGUGUUUCUAAAUCCAUCUGUACAAAAGAAGAGAUAUCAUUACGUAGUUU
This 107-nucleotide small nucleolar RNA is filed under the name Gossypium arboreum. RNAcentral describes it as "Plant small nucleolar RNA R71". It matches the Rfam family "Plant small nucleolar RNA R71". Rfam says of the family: R71 is a member of the C/D box family of snoRNAs containing the C (UGAUGA) and D (CUGA) box motifs. Multiple nearly identical copies of this snoRNA have been identified in Arabidopsis, and it is thought to function as a 2'-O-ribose methylation guide for 18S ribosomal RNA. Lineage: Eukaryota; Viridiplantae; Streptophyta; Magnoliopsida; Malvales; Malvaceae. The record is from Rfam by way of RNAcentral.